UAAGGAGUGUGUAACAACUCACCUGCCGAAGCAACUAGCUCUGAAAAUGGAUGGCGCUGGAGCAUCACACCUAUACCCGACCGCUGGGGCAGAACGGGCUAAACGUAGUCACGCAUCCAGGGCCUACAGGCCCCAGCGAGUAGGAGGGGCGCAGCGGUGUGCGCAGAAGGGAUUGGGCGUGAGCCUGCCUGGAGCCGCCGUUGGUGCAGAUCUUGGUGGUAGUAGCAAAUACUCGAGCGAUAUCCUGGAGAUCUGAUGUGGAGAAGGGUUCCAUGUGAACAGCCUUUGCACAUGGGUCAGUCUGUCCUAAGCUGCAGGAGAAAUCCGGGUUCUGGCGAAAUCGGUGCUCCCGCGUAUAUAAACAUAUUACACGUGUCACCGCCAAACCUAAGCGAGAGGGAAUCCGGUACUGAUUCCGGAACCUGGUCACGGAUAACCCCUCUUCGGAGGGGGUCGUUGGGGUCCUCGUGAUCUACACCGUAAGGUAGCUAAACUCGGGGAAGUCGGCCGCUGUCCCGGGCAGAGUUUUCUGUUCUGUAUAAGGGCCCGGAUCCCUGGAAUCGCCUCGCGCGGAGAGAGGGAACUGGUUUCAUUUUAGCCCGAAGAGCCCCGCAGUU
This 617-nucleotide ribosomal RNA is filed under the name Xenoleberis sp. n. japan266. RNAcentral's name for it is "partial large subunit ribosomal RNA". It matches the Rfam family "Eukaryotic large subunit ribosomal RNA", at positions 1272 to 1773 of the family's 3401-position model. Lineage: Eukaryota; Metazoa; Arthropoda; Ostracoda; Myodocopida; Cylindroleberididae. The record is from RNAcentral.